UAUCUUGUGGUCGUCGAUGGUGCCGACCCCGCCAGGGGAAGGCUUAAAGGGAAUCCGGUGAGGCGCGCUCGCACAUGAGCAAGCCGAUUCCGGAGCUGCCCCGCAGCGGUAACUGGUAACGACCCGCGUCAAUGGCACUGGCCCGAUCCCCAAGGGGAUGCAGCUGGGAAGCGACGCGCAGUAGGAAGACGGCUCGCAUCGCGAACCGCACGACCGGAAGCCCGAAAACCUGCCACGACCGGAAGUCUCCG
This 251-nucleotide non-coding RNA is filed under the name Lysobacter sp. The record is from RNAcentral. Lineage: Bacteria; Pseudomonadati; Pseudomonadota; Gammaproteobacteria; Lysobacterales; Lysobacteraceae.